RNAcentral lists this ribosomal RNA (253 nucleotides) under uncultured bacterium. RNAcentral's name for it is "partial 16S ribosomal RNA". It matches the Rfam family "Bacterial small subunit ribosomal RNA", at positions 524 to 776 of the family's 1533-position model. The record is from RNAcentral.
UACGGAGGAUCCGAGCGUUAUCCGGAUUCAUUGGGUUUAAAGGGUGCGUAGGUUGUUUUAUAAGUUAGCGGUGAAAUACCGAUGCUCAACAUCGGGGCUGCCGCUGAUACUGUAGGACUAGAGAUCGGAUGCAGCAGGCGGAAUGUGUAGUGUAGCGGUGAAAUGCAUAGAUAUUACACAGAACACCGAUUGCGAAGGCAGCUUACCAAACUAUAUCUGACGUUGAGGCACGAAAGCGUGGGUAGCAAACAGG